AAAUUGAAGAGUUUGAUCAUGGCUCAGAUUGAACGCUGGCGGCAGGCCUAACACAUGCAAGUCGAACGGUAACAGGAAGCAGCUUGCUGCUUUGCUGACGAGUGGCGGACGGGUGAGUAAUGUCUGGGAAACUGCCUGAUGGAGGGGGAUAACUACUGGAAACGGUGGCUAAUACCGCAUAACGUCGCAAGACCAAAGAGGGGGAUCUUCGGGCCUCUUGCCAUCAGAUGUGCCCAGAUGGGAUUAGCUAGUUGGUGAGGUAACGGCUCACCAAGGCGACGAUCCCUAGCUGGUCUGAGAGGAUGACCAGCCACACUGGAACUGAGACACGGUCCAGACUCCUACGGGAGGCAGCAGUGGGGAAUAUUGCACAAUGGGCGCAAGCCUGAUGCAGCCAUGCCGCGUGUAUGAAGAAGGCCUUAGGGUUGUAAAGUACUUUCAGCGGGGAGGAAGGUGUUGUGGUUAAUAACCGCAGCAAUUGACGUUACCCGCAGAAGAAGCACCGGCUAACUCCGUGCCAGCAGCCGCGGUAAUACGGAGGGUGCAAGCGUUAAUCGGAAUUACUGGGCGUAAAGCGCACGCAGGCGGUCUGUCAAGUCGGAUGUGAAAUCCCCGGGCUCAACCUGGG
RNAcentral lists this ribosomal RNA (628 nucleotides) under Salmonella enterica. Its description in RNAcentral is "bacterial SSU rRNA". It matches the Rfam family "Bacterial small subunit ribosomal RNA", at positions 1 to 618 of the family's 1533-position model. The record is from RNAcentral. Lineage: Bacteria; Pseudomonadati; Pseudomonadota; Gammaproteobacteria; Enterobacterales; Enterobacteriaceae.